This 497-nucleotide ribosomal RNA is filed under the name uncultured bacterium. RNAcentral describes it as "partial 16S ribosomal RNA". It matches the Rfam family "Bacterial small subunit ribosomal RNA", at positions 28 to 507 of the family's 1533-position model. The record is from RNAcentral.
GAUGAACGCUGGCGGCGUGCCUAAUACAUGCAAGUCGAGCGAACAGACGAGGAGCUUGCUCCUCUGACGUUAGCGGCGGACGGGUGAGUAACACGUGGAUAACCUACCUAUAAGACUGGGAUAACUUCGGGAAACCGGCGCUAAUACCGGAUAAUAUAUUGAACCGCAUGGUUCAAUAGUGAAAGACGGUUUUGCUGUCACUUAUAGAUGGAUCCGCGCCGCAUUAGCUAGUUGGUAAGGUAACGGCUUACCAAGGCAACGAUGCGUAGCCGACCUGAGGGGGUGAUCGGUCACACUGGAACUGAGACACGGUCCAGACGCCUACGGGAGGCAGCAGUAGGGAAUCUUCCGCAAUGGGCGAAAGCCUGACGGAGCAACGCCGCGUGAGUGAUGAAGGUCUUCGGAUCGUAAAACUCUGUUAUUAGGGAAGAACAAAUGUGUAAGUAACUAUGCACGUCUUGACGGUACCUAAUCAGAAAGCCACGGCUAACUACGUG